UAAUACGUAGGGUGCAAGCGUUGUCCGGAAUUAUUGGGCGUAAAGGGCUCGUAGGCGGUCCAUCGCGUCGGGAGUGAAAAGCUGGGGCUUAACCCCAGUCCUGCUUUCGAUACGGGUGGACUAGAGGUAUGCAGGGGAGAAUGGAAUUCCUGGUGUAGCGGUGAAAUGCGCAGAUAUCAGGAGGAACACCGGUGGCGAAGGCGGUUCUCUGGGCAUUACCUGAC
This 224-nucleotide ribosomal RNA is filed under the name uncultured bacterium. Its description in RNAcentral is "partial 16S ribosomal RNA". It matches the Rfam family "Bacterial small subunit ribosomal RNA", at positions 521 to 744 of the family's 1533-position model. The record is from RNAcentral.